Molecule: ribosomal RNA, 433 nt
Filed under: uncultured bacterium
Lineage: Bacteria
Description: partial 16S ribosomal RNA
Rfam family: Bacterial small subunit ribosomal RNA
Source: RNAcentral
GACGAACGCUGGCGGCAUGCCUAACACAUGCAAGUCGAACGAGACCUUCGGGUCUAGUGGCGCACGGGUGCGUAACGCGUGGGAACCUGCCCUUAGGUUCGGAAUAACUCCCCGAAAGGGGUGCUAAUACCGGAUAAUGUCUUCGGACCAAAGAUUUAUCGCCUUUGGAUGGGCCCGCGUUGGAUUAGCUAGUUGGUAGGGUAAAAGCCUACCAAGGCGACGAUCCAUAGCUGGUCUGAGAGGAUGAUCAGCCACACUGGGACUGAGACACGGCCCAGACUCCUACGGGAGGCAGCAGUGGGGAAUAGUGGACAAUGGGCGAAAGCCUGAUCCAGCAAUGCCGCGUGAGUGAUGAAGGCCUUAGGGUUGUAAAGCUCUUUUACCCGGGAUGAUAAUGACAGUACCGGGAGAAUAAGCUCCGGCUAACUCCGUG